AGCGAACGCUGGCGGCAGGCUUAACACAUGCAAGUCGAACGCAUCACUUCGGUGGUGAGUGGCAGACGGGUGAGUAACACGUGGGAACGUACCCUUCGAUCUGGGAUAACUUCGGGAAACUGGAGCUAAUACCGGAUACGCCCUUUUGGGGAAAGGUUUACUGUCGAAGGAUCGGCCCGCGUCUGAUUAGCUAGUUGGUGGGGUAACGGCCUACCAAGGCGACGAUCAGUAGCUGGUCUGAGAGGAUGAUCAGCCACACUGGGACUGAGACACGGCCCAGACUCCUACGGGAGGCAGCAGUGGGGAAUAUUGGACAAUGGGCGCAGGCCUGAUCCAGCCAUGCCGCGUGAGUGAUGAAGGCCUUAGGGUUGUAAAGCUCUUUUGUCCGGGACGAUAAUGACGGUACCGGAAGAAUAAGCCCCGGCUAACUUCGUG
Molecule: ribosomal RNA, 435 nt
Filed under: uncultured bacterium
Lineage: Bacteria
Description: partial 16S ribosomal RNA
Rfam family: Bacterial small subunit ribosomal RNA
Source: RNAcentral